UGCCUUGAUGGUCUCUCACUGAUCCAACAGUU
This 32-nucleotide non-coding RNA is filed under the name Mus musculus (house mouse). Lineage: Eukaryota; Metazoa; Chordata; Mammalia; Rodentia; Muridae. The record is from RNAcentral.